RNAcentral lists this ribosomal RNA (253 nucleotides) under uncultured bacterium. RNAcentral describes it as "partial 16S ribosomal RNA". It matches the Rfam family "Bacterial small subunit ribosomal RNA", at positions 524 to 776 of the family's 1533-position model. The record is from RNAcentral.
CACGGGGGGAGCAAGCGUUGUCCGGAUUUACUGGGCGUAAAGAGCGUGUAGGCGGGAUGGUCAGUCAUAAGUGAAAUCUCUCGGCUUAACCGGGAACCUGCUUAUGAUACUGCCAAUCUUGAGUUCGGAAGAGGGAAGUGGAAUUCCUGGUGUAGCGGUGAAAUGCGUAGAUAUCAGGAAGAACACCAAUGGCGAAGGCACUCUACUGGGCCAUAACUGACACUGAGAGACGACAGCUAGGGGAGCAAAUGGG